Molecule: non-coding RNA, 135 nt
Organism: Ascoidea rubescens DSM 1968
Lineage: Eukaryota; Fungi; Ascomycota; Saccharomycetes; Ascoideales; Ascoideaceae
Source: Rfam
GUUACAGUGGUCGAGUGGUUAAGGAAGCGUUCUCCUAUAAGUAAUUAUCAGAAGCAAUUUCAUCAAAUUCAUCUGAUGAAAUCUUGAGAGUAACGUAAGGUUUAUCCUCCACAGGUUCGAAUCCUGUCUGUAACG